CCAUCCACACUCUAAUGUCAAGGACUAAGAUUGUGCCAGCUGACAAAGGAGAAAUGUUCCAGGGUCCAUCUCCUAUAGAACAAGAAAGGGCAAAGAGGGGUGGAUUUGGAACUGAGACAUUGAUAACUGGCAUAGUUUCAAAGCAGAUAGCAAAUGGACUCUCAGCUUGUGCUUAGCAAAAACAGCCUGCUUGUUAUCAUUUAUUCUACUCGCAUAUCACCAAGUACCAGAGGCCCCAGAGACGCGAUGACUGAUGAGGUAUGUGUUGAG
This is a long non-coding RNA of Talpa occidentalis (Iberian mole), 270 nucleotides long. RefSeq lists it as uncharacterized. The transcript is spliced from 3 exons. Lineage: Eukaryota; Metazoa; Chordata; Mammalia; Eulipotyphla; Talpidae. The record is from RefSeq and is a predicted model, not a curated record.